RNAcentral lists this ribosomal RNA (475 nucleotides) under uncultured bacterium. RNAcentral describes it as "bacterial SSU rRNA". It matches the Rfam family "Bacterial small subunit ribosomal RNA", at positions 40 to 507 of the family's 1533-position model. The record is from RNAcentral.
CGGCAUGCUUUACACAUGCAAGUCGAACGGCAGCACGGGUGCUUGCACCUGGUGGCGAGUGGCGAACGGGUGAGUAAUGCAUCGGAACGUGCCUAUUAGUGGGGGAUAACGCUUCGAAAGGAGUGCUAAUACCGCAUAAAUCUCUGAGGAGGAAAGCAGGGGACCUUCGGGCCUUGCGCUGAUAGAGCGGCCGAUGUCGGAUUAGCUAGUUGGUGAGGUAAAGGCUCACCAAGGCGACGAUCCGUAGCGGGUCUGAGAGGAUGAUCCGCCACACUGGGACUGAGACACGGCCCAGACUCCUACGGGAGGCAGCAGUGGGGAAUUUUGGACAAUGGGCGCAAGCCUGAUCCAGCCAUGCCGCGUGAGUGAAGAAGGCCUUCGGGUUGUAAAGCUCUUUUGUCCGGGAGCAAGUCCUACUGGCUAAUAUCUGGUGGGGAUGAGAGUACUGGAAGAAUAAGCACCGGCUAACUACGUG